RNAcentral lists this ribosomal RNA (401 nucleotides) under uncultured bacterium. Its description in RNAcentral is "bacterial SSU rRNA". It matches the Rfam family "Bacterial small subunit ribosomal RNA", at positions 358 to 773 of the family's 1533-position model. The record is from RNAcentral.
GGAAUAUUGGACAAUGGGGGGAACCCUGAUCCAGCGACGCCGCGUGAGUGAAGAAGUAUUUCGGUAUGUAAAGCUCUAUCAGCAGGGAAGAAAGAAAUGACGGUACCUGACUAAGAAGCCCCGGCUAACUACGUGCCAGCAGCCGCGGUAAUACGUAGGGGGCAAGCGUUAUCCGGAUUUACUGGGUGUAAAGGGAGCGUAGACGGCGGGGCAAGUCUGGAGUGAAAGGCCGGGGCCCAACCCCGGGACCGCUCUGGAAACUGCCCGGCUGGAGUGCGGGAGAGGUAAGCGGAAUUCCUAGUGUAGCGGUGAAAUGCGUAGAUAUUAGGAGGAACACCAGCGGCGAAGGCGGCUUACUGGACCGUGACUGACGUUGAGGCUCGAAAGCGUGGGGAGCAAAC